AGUGAACGCUGGCGGUAGGCCUAACACAUGCAAGUCGAACGGCAGCACAGUAAGAGCUUGCUCUUACGGGUGGCGAGUGGCGGACGGGUGAGGAAUACAUCGGAAUCUACUUUUUCGUGGGGGAUAACGUAGGGAAACUUACGCUAAUACCGCAUACGACCUACGGGUGAAAGCAUGGGAUCUUCGGACCUUGCGCGAUUGAAUGAGCCGAUGUCGGAGUAGCUAGUUGGCUGGGUAAAGGCCCACCAAGGCGACGAUCCGUAGCUGGUAUGAGAGGAUGAUCAGCCACACUGGAACUGAGACACGGUCCAGACUCCUACGGGAGGCAGCAGUGGGGAAUAUUGGACAAUGGGUGCAAGCCUGAUCCAGCCAUACCGCGUGGGUGAAGAAGGCCUUCGGGUUGUAAAGCCAUUUUGUUGGGAAAGAAAAGCAGCAGGUUAAUACCCCGCUGUUCUGACGGUACCCAAAGAAUAAGCACCGGCUAACUUCGUG
Molecule: ribosomal RNA, 492 nt
Filed under: uncultured bacterium
Lineage: Bacteria
Description: partial 16S ribosomal RNA
Rfam family: Bacterial small subunit ribosomal RNA
Source: RNAcentral